Molecule: long non-coding RNA, 1843 nt
Organism: Orcinus orca (killer whale)
Lineage: Eukaryota; Metazoa; Chordata; Mammalia; Artiodactyla; Delphinidae
Exons: 3
Source: RefSeq, a predicted model, not a curated record
UCUCGAGGCUGGUGGCCCCCAUGUGCUUCCUGACUAUCUGGUCUCCUUGAGUUCCUCCUAAGUGAUGGGCCUUAGGCCAGAGGACCAAGAAGCUGUUCCACGUAGACGAGGCUCCUUUCAUUCUCACCAGUGUUUUCCUGAUGAGAGUUCAAUGUGCAGUUCACAGGGCGUUCUAGUCUCACGUGAAGCCCCUGUGCAAUCCUGUGUUGGCAUCAGUGACACCAACAAAAGCAGAGAAAAGAGGGGUCCUCAAGAGCCUAUAUCUCUCUAGGAGGGAGAAUUGUCCAUUUUGAUACAAGGAGCUGUGGUCUCAAGCUUGGGCAGGGCACCAACAGAUGUCACACACCCAUGCUGCUGACUGAUGGUGCAGCAACAGGAAGAAUAACACAAAACACAGCAGCUGGAACCAGGAAGGCCCUCCUGCAAGGCCCCUCCAACUCUCUCCACUGAUGGAGCUCAACGCUGUACUCGCCGGAAGGGAUAAACGCUUCAAAAAUCCAGUCUAUUCCGUGGAGCAGAUACUGAAUGGUGAAUUUGGGGCUCAGAGGUAAGCGAGUGAUACCUGGCAUAGGGUGCAUUGAUCACUCAAUAGUUGUACCUGCAAAAAUUAAACCCUUCGUAGAAAUAAAAAAGAACGUACUACUGAGACACACAGCAGCUAGGCUGAAUCUCAAAGCAUAAGGCUGAGUGUAAAACAUCUAACUUCAAAAGGUUACAUUUUUCCAUUUAUAUGACAUUUGCAGGGAGCCAAAACCGAGGCAGAGAAGAGAUCUGUGGUUUCCAGGGGUUAGGGGUGGAGGAAGGUGUGAAAAGGGGACACACAAAAGGAGAGUGCAAGAAAGUCACCUGCCUUCCUUGGUGAUGGUGUGAAUCUAUAUGUGUUAAAAUUCAUACAGUUGUGCACCCCAAAGGCCGAUUUUGUUCUAUGUUAAUUUUAAAAUAAAAAAUUUAAAAGACUACUUUAAUCUAAUAUCAGAACUUUAGUCUCCAGUCCAGUUCAGACUUCUCCUUUUACCCCAGCUUAGGUCCGACCGGCAAUGGGACAGAGAGUGGUCUAUUUUCCCCUCCUGUUCUACUUCCUCCUGUCUGCUUCGGCCUUUUCCUUCGCUGUGUUUAGAGGGAGGAGAAAGGAGAAGGAGGAAAGAGUUUCUUUGACUCAGAUGAUUCUCUUUGAAAUUCUCUCUUUCUGGUGGAACGCCCUUUCUUCUACGUGAUGCCAAACGUCUGGCUCCUUCUGUUUGAGGCAUUCUUGUGGGUUCUUUGCACACCCUCCCCCAACCCCCAGAUCCCACCAGGACAUCCACUGCUCCUGAUGCACCUGACUCAGGUCAUGCCUUCUCUGGAUACCCCUCAUCUCCUGCCCCACGCAGUGAAGCCCCUCAUGGCCAGUUUUUCCACUGUGAUUCACCCACCUCACGGGGAAUCAGAUGCCCACUUUCCCGCCGCUGCACCUACUGUUUCUCCUCUGCUCCAGCCGGUCUCCUACUUUCAAUGAUAUCCUGCUGAGGGUCAGGCACCAGUCUGAUCUUUGAAUUCCAAAGGAAAAAUGAAUUCUCAAGAAUUUUGGGGGGGAGGUGGGAUGAAUUGGGAGAUUAGGAUUGAUAUACGUACACUACUAUGUAUAAAAUAGAGUACUAAUGAGAACCUGCUGUAGAGCACAAGGAACUCUACUCAAUGCUCUGUGGUGACCUAAACGGAAGGAAAUCCCAAAAAGAGGGGUUAUAUGUAUACGCAGAGCUGAUUCACUUUGCUGCACAGCAGAAACUAACACAACACUGUAAAGCAACUGUACUCCAAUAAAAAAUGUUUUUUAAGUUUUUUAAAUUAAAUUUAAUUUUUAAAA